This 497-nucleotide ribosomal RNA is filed under the name uncultured bacterium. RNAcentral's name for it is "partial 16S ribosomal RNA". It matches the Rfam family "Bacterial small subunit ribosomal RNA", at positions 28 to 507 of the family's 1533-position model. The record is from RNAcentral.
GAUGAACGCUGGCGGCGUGCCUAAUACAUGCAAGUCGAGCGAACAGACGAGGAGCUUGCUCCUUCGACGUUAGCGGCGGACGGGUGAGUAACACGUAGGUAACCUACCUAUAAGACUGGGAUAACUUCGGGAAACCGGAGCUAAUACCGGAUAAUAUUUCGAACCGCAUGGUUCGAUAGUGAAAGAUGGCUUUGCUAUCACUUAUAGAUGGACCUGCGCCGUAUUAGCUAGUUGGUAAGGUAACGGCUUACCAAGGCAACGAUACGUAGCCGACCUGAGAGGGUGAUCGGCCACACUGGAACUGAGACACGGUCCAGACUCCUACGGGAGGCAGCAGUAGGGAAUCUUCCGCAAUGGGCGAAAGCCUGACGGAGCAACGCCGCGUGAGUGAUGAAGGUCUUCGGAUCGUAAAACUCUGUUAUUAGGGAAGAACAAACGUGUAAGUAACUGUGCACGUCUUGACGGUACCUAAUCAGAAAGCCACGACUAACUACGUG